UGGGAGGAGCUGAGGAUCGCUUCCCGGUCGAACGGGAAGAGGAAAGUCCGAACACCGCAGGGCGCGAUGCCGUUCAACCUGGCCUUUCGGGGCCGGGGCACGGGCGGAAGGCCGGGCCGAAAGGCGCGGCCGAUGGACAGUGCCACAGAAAACAAACCGCCGGGCUUCGAAAGGGGCGCGGCAAGGGUGAAAAGGCGGGGUAAGAGCCCACCGCCCGCCGAGCGAUCGGCGGGGCACGGAAAACCCCAUCGGGUGCAAGGCCAAAUAGGGAACCUUGGAGUGGCCCGCUCCAUGGCGCAAGCCGGGUUCCGGGUCAGGCCGCUCAGAGUAAUGAUCCUCUCCGCUCUUUCGAGAGCGCAGACAGAAUUCGGCUUACCGCUCCUCCAAAGCC
This 391-nucleotide RNase P RNA is filed under the name Verrucomicrobiota bacterium. RNAcentral's name for it is "Verrucomicrobia bacterium (wastewater metagenome) RNase P RNA component class A". It matches the Rfam family "Bacterial RNase P class A". From Rfam's summary of the family: Ribonuclease P (RNase P) is a ubiquitous endoribonuclease, found in archaea, bacteria and eukarya as well as chloroplasts and mitochondria. Its best characterised activity is the generation of mature 5'-ends of tRNAs by cleaving the 5'-leader elements of precursor-tRNAs. RNAcentral also lists the same sequence under 1 other name. Lineage: Bacteria; Pseudomonadati; Verrucomicrobiota. The record is from RNAcentral.